Molecule: long non-coding RNA, 566 nt
Organism: Oryzias melastigma (Indian medaka)
Lineage: Eukaryota; Metazoa; Chordata; Actinopteri; Beloniformes; Adrianichthyidae
Exons: 2
Source: RefSeq, a predicted model, not a curated record
GGCUUGGAAAAAAGUAAAAGUAAAAAAACAGACACCCCUUACAUUUUUUUAUUUUUAAUUUAUUUACUUUCAGUAUUAUUCACAGAGUUCCGUUUCCAACUCUGAGUAUUGUUAUUCCCAAACUGUCCGCUAGGUGGCAGCGCAGCGCGCAGUGGAAUAGAGGCACACCCGAGGAAGAAUAAAUCCUCUUGAGAAAAUGCUACAAGCAUAUUAAAACGUGUGCUGCCUCUCUGUUCCAACUAACAGACCACAUGCCCUCUGGGCCACGACUUAGAGGAGCAACAUAAUCAUAAUAUACAUUAAUGAUUUAUUUCCGGCAAAUAUAAAGUUAUUCUUUUAGUACUUACCGGAGAAAAGACACCAGAUGACUCCCAGAGAGUGUUAGAACAGUUUACAGCACGGCAGCAGGACAAAAACCGAAAUAGAGCGCUCAUGCUAACGCUAAAUCUGUAGCAGACCAGCAAAACACAGGAGCACAGCUCCCAGAAUCCACCGCGAUCGUCACCUGUCAAUCAAAGGCCGCGCCCCCCUCAUUAAGCGAAAAUAAAUGCUGUUUUAAAAAAAAA